Molecule: non-coding RNA, 163 nt
Filed under: human gut metagenome
Source: RNAcentral
UUGGGGUGGGGGCGGAGAAUAGAGAACCCGGUGGGAAUCCGGGGCGGUACCGCCACUGUAAGUGCGGAGGUGGGUGCGGAAGUACGAAAGUCGGCCAUUGGGGGCAAGCCCCGAGAAGGCCCGCACUCCCCAUGGAUGCACAAGCCAGGAGACCUGCUUCGGC